GGGGAGCAUCCAAAAGAUGAGAUGCUACCUGAUACAAUCUUCCUACAGAAAUCUCUGUAGUUUCCUACUUGUAAUACUGAGCAUGUUCUGCAAGUCUCAUAUAUACAGAGACAUGA
This is a small nucleolar RNA of Tripterygium wilfordii, 116 nucleotides long. RefSeq annotates it as small nucleolar RNA snoR104. The record is from RefSeq and is a predicted model, not a curated record. NCBI's taxonomy places the organism in Eukaryota, Viridiplantae, Streptophyta, Magnoliopsida, Celastrales, Celastraceae. The transcript has a single exon.